GGUUCUUCAGUGCGGGGAAGGAUGAGAAGCUUCGACCAAGGUUCGAUUCGAGCGUAGCGAGAA
Molecule: small RNA, 63 nt
Filed under: Enterobacter hormaechei
Lineage: Bacteria; Pseudomonadati; Pseudomonadota; Gammaproteobacteria; Enterobacterales; Enterobacteriaceae
Also listed under: 1 other name
Description: partial RtT sRNA
Rfam family: RtT RNA
About the family: This family represents a bacterial cis-regulatory element known as RtT RNA. The exact function of RtT is unknown although it is thought that it may be involved in changing the cellular response in relation to amino acid starvation.
Source: RNAcentral